RNAcentral lists this transfer RNA (71 nucleotides) under Loxodonta africana (African savanna elephant). It matches the Rfam family "tRNA". From Rfam's summary of the family: Transfer RNA (tRNA) molecules are approximately 80 nucleotides in length. The record is from Rfam by way of RNAcentral. Lineage: Eukaryota; Metazoa; Chordata; Mammalia; Proboscidea; Elephantidae.
GCACUGGUGGUCUAGUGGUAGAAUUCUUGCCUUUCGUGCGUGAGACCCAGGUUCAAUUCCUGGCCGAUACA